Non-coding RNA from Nothobranchius furzeri (turquoise killifish), 4723 nucleotides. NCBI's taxonomy places the organism in Eukaryota, Metazoa, Chordata, Actinopteri, Cyprinodontiformes, Nothobranchiidae. The record is from RefSeq and is a predicted model, not a curated record.
AGAUGGGAUAAAUCAAAGUACUGUCUGUAAUUUGCGGACAAUUUGAGAUUGGAGAUCUUCCACCGUCAAGUUUCCACCAGGACGUCUCCCGGAAGACUGACUUCAGCGGAAUAAUUUCCGGUUUUUUUCAAAAUAAGACAUCAAAGUGAAACACAGAGAAAAGGCGUAAUGUAGCUUUUAGAUGUUCGGAAUCAGAUAUAUCGCAGAUAUAGAAGUCUGGAUACGCUCGCCAUAUUGUAAGGAAAAUUGGCUGGCUCAGCCAUAUUGUAAGGAGAAACUGUCUUUACUCAGUUAUAUUGUAGCGUUGUGGUUUUAUGCUCUUUUAUGAAAGAGGAACCAUGCUACGUAUUAAUUCGGAAUAUUAAUUUUUAAUAAAUCAAUAAUCAAAUUUUAUAUUGUUAAGAAGACUCAAAGGUUGUUUUCAUCGAUAAACUGACGAUAAUAUCUGUGUGUCUGUGUUUCAGUUCAAUGAGGAAACCAGUUUGACAAUUAAAAGUUUUAAUUCUUCAAAUUAAACUAAUGAUUUUGAAAUUGACAAAAAGGAAAUAACAAUCAACAUUGGCAACUUGUGGGACAAUCUUUAACAGUUGAUAUGAUCAAAUAGACCUUGUGGUGAAUUUAUGAAGAUUGAGAAUGUUGUGAUAUGAAUGCGCGUGUGAGUCUGAUUUUGCUUCAGGAAGAACAGGUGUCUGAGUGAAGUGAUGGUUUGGAUAAACUUAGGUCUUAUCAGAGAACUGCAUCAAACGCUAAACACCGUGCUCUGUCUCACCGAACUCUUGUGGAUCCUCUUUCGGAUCCGGGCCGUGGAGGAUGGUGGUGGUUCAUCCAGAUGACACCAACGGCUGACAGGAGAGACGUAGGUGUCGAACGGAACCGGUCCAGAGUUGCCCUCGGUACACGUUGAUGGUAGAGUGUUUUGUCGAUGCGCUUUCUUAAGUUAAUUCACUCAGAAAUCAAAAGACUCGGUAAUGAGUCUGCGUUAGAAGUUGCGAUUCAGCUAUUCUGUCUGGCUGACAGGAACAGCGUGAGAGGGGAGAGAAACGAGCCAACCGGCUCUGCCCCCCCUUUGGUUUUCAGGUCCUCUCUCUUUCGUUGUCCAACACGAACUGAAAUCAUAAGACUGAAACUUACCAAAAGCCUUUCUCCUCUCAAAGCAAAAUGUGUGCGUCAGCAAAUGUGUUUUGGAGUUUACUGUGAGCAGAUGUGCGUGGGCGUGUUUGGGUGUGUGAAGAAGCAGGAGUGUGAAGGUCGUUACCAAACAUUCUCAACAUUAACAUUUAAUUAAGAAUGGAUUAAUUAAAUCUCUUAUAAUUACCCAAAGCAUGAUAGCCAUUCAUUUGAUUAAAACACAUUUAUAAUGAGCAAAUUGAUGAUUAAACUUUUAACAUUCAAAACAAGAAAAGGAAGUUUAAACUUUAUGUUUUGACUUGUUCUGGGUACAACUCAUGGAAACACGUCUUCUGGACGCUGCAGGUGGCUGAUGUUAUGGCUACUUCCAGACUCUCGCAGACUUCAUGUCUGCAAAGGUCCCAAUCUGUGUGUUAAAGUUCUCAGCGACCCAGCUUUGACCCAGCUGAGUCCAACACCACCUUUGUGACAGAAAACCCAUAUUACACGUUACACGUUUCUCUACGGAGAAGGGGGCUCCCACCUGUCCCAAGGGGACAUUCGCAGCGGGAUAUGCACUCGAUUCUUGGGAGGUCUGGCGAAUCGUGUGCCUCUCUCAGUUGUCCAUCGAGGACGUGGAAGAUUUGUGGAUAUUCGGCCUGAUGAUCACUGGAUUUCUUCUGAUUGGAGUGGGAGGAUAUCUGGUUUUCUGAAAAUUCGGGAAGACGGGAGCGAUUGGAGUGCGACCCGCACCCAUGGAAUGUGCCGCCCGUGCGGUGACCUCACAGACUGGGACGUUACUCGAGGUGAACCGUAAGCUGGACAAUGUCCUCGCGGCGUUGCCUGUGUUAGUGCGCAAGAUGGAUGUCAUCUCGGAGAGGGUCGCCGGACGGUGUGGGGAUGUUUAGAACAUAAAAUUGGCUUCACUGGUGGACAUGAAUGACCACUUAUAGACUCCAAGGCAGAGAGGAAAAUUAUCUCUGCCUGCCCUAAACAAAGUCUUGUUUAUCCUUAUCUGACGCCAAGGCAGCCUCCAAGGCUGCCAUCAACACACUCCCACGAAAGGAGGAAUGCUGACAGAUGCUGUGUCCCGACCUUCCCCCCUGCCUUCAGAUUGUGACUUCUGCUUCGAGGUCAGCAACCUGCAGGAAACUCAGUGCGCUCUCUGUCCCUCAUUUCUCCCUCCCACCUGUUUGUCUGCAGCUGGCUGAGCGCCGUAAUGGCAGCUCCCGUUGGAGGAUUCAGGAUCCCGCCCAACCCCGCCUCCCCAUCGGACUCUGAUGUUUUGUAUCUGUGAUGGUCGUGCUUCUAUGUUGAGGAGUUUUUUUGUAUAAUAGAGUUACUCCCCGCUGGGUCUAACUCUGCUAUGCCUUUUUUUUUUACCUUGCCCCAAUUAUCCUCAUGUAACACCCUUUUCAUCUAAUGAAAUGAGCGCUGUUAUGGCUGCUCUCGUGACUGCCUGUACCUGUUUUUGUCUACAUGUGUGUGUGUUUAACCUUGGUCAGGUUGUGUUCGCGGAGUCAAGUUCCUAUGCUCUGGGUCGGUGGAGCGCUGGCAAUAAAGCUUAUUCUGAUUCUGACUCUGAUUCUCUAAGUGAUAGGUGAAUUUUGUUUUUUAAACAUAUUUUUUACUUUAUUUAAGAUUGGUAUGCUGAAAAUCAUUUAAUGUUUUGCAUAAAGCAUGAGGUUUUGGUUAGUAAUUGAUUGGAAGAAUAACAAAUGACUGAAUUAAAUAGUGGGGCGCCUCUGUCAGUGCGCCCCAGGGCAGCUGUGGCUACAUUGUAGCUUAUCACCAUCAGUGUGUGAAUGUGUGUGUGAAUGGAUGAAUGACGCACUGUAGUGUAAAGCGCUUUGGAGUCCUUACUCUGAGAGGCGCUAUACAAGUGCGGAUCAUUUAUCAUUUAUAGUGCUGAUCAGGCAGAGCUUUGUCACCAGCGUUCCACUGCACAAUGGCUUCAAACACGUAUAUAAAUGUUAGUUUAUACAUAAACCAUUGGAUGAAAUUACACAAACUGACUGAGCUCUAGUUAAGGCGCUUGCAAUAGUUUGUGUAUGUGUGCGUGCGUGUGUACGUGUGUGUGUAUGUGUAUGUGUACGUGUGUGUGUGUGUGUGUGUGCGUGCAUGUGUUUGGGGGAGGGUACAUUGGAACUUUGUCCCCCCCAGUUUGAAAAUCCUAUCUGCGCCCCUGGUAUCAAUCACUCAGUAGGGGAGCAGAUUUCAUAUGAUGACAUUAUUGAUGAAUUUGCAUCAAGGUUAGGUUUUAAUUUUAGUUUGUGUUUUCUGUUCUAAGUGCAAUGCUGUAGUGAUUAUCUUUAGUUUGCUAUGUGUGAAACAUUUUUGCUACUUAGAAUAUUUAUUAUAUAUUAUGUUCAUAUAUUCUUAAUAUUUAGUUAUUGUUUGUUUUUGUAUAUUUGAUUCUAUAUAUUUCGAUACAGUAUAUAAUGUAUAGUGCUUUACAUUCUGACAACUUCAUUAGUAAUUAAUGUAAAUAUGUGCAACUUAGAAAAAUGAAUGUUCAAUAGUCGUUCUAAUAAAACAUGCCUGUUUGUAGAAAACAUGCGUGUGUUUGUGCAGGUGGGGUGGUGGUGGUGGUGGUGGUGUGUGUGGGGGGGGGGUGCUCAAAGGGGGCCUCACCCGGGGAGUAAUUCCAUGUAGAACCGCCACUGACUACAAUGAAAGUGACUUGAGUGAGCAGAAGAUGGGUUUCAAAAGCAAGGAUAAGGUCAGGCUGAAGCUCACUGCAGUACCGUCAGUACACAGCAGAGGCAGUCAACAGCGAGAGGGACAACAAGGAGGUGAGACCGCUAUGGCUACUCCUGGGAACAGCUGCAGCAGAUUCAAGACUCCACAAAAAACUGCAGCUCGGAAACUUGAAGUUUGUUUGGCAAUCACUUUUAUAUUUACACAUUUACUUCUGAUAUUUUGUAGUAAUAUAGAAGUCUGAUUUUACAACAAUUUUAAUUCAAAAUCUCUCUUCAGAGGAGAAGCUCAUCAGCAUCUGGGUGAGCUGCUAGCUGCAGCGAAGGGCAAAUGUUUGUGUAGCAUGUAAAUAUACGGAGCUAGAUAUUUUUAUGUUGCUACGGUUGGUCAUUAUUUCUAAGCUAGAAAAAUUAAAAACUGCUAUAUAAUGUACACUGACAUGUUCAGAUUUAGAAAAUAACGCUUUUGUACUUGUUUUAUAGAUGAUAGCAUUUGUCUCACAGAUGGAAGCUGAGCUCAUUCCUGAUGCUGCUGAUGCACAUGAUGAUGUGAGAGAAGACAGUCUGUCUGCAGAUCACCACCAGGUGACCUCGAUCAACUCAUUUGUCACCGAUCAUCAGCUCCAUGACAUUUGUGGAAGCAGUCCAUAGUGAACCAUCUGUACAGGACCACUGCAUCCACACCUGAUGACUCAUGUCCAUGUACAUGAGACACAUACAUUUCCAGUUUGUCUCCAUGCUCCACUGGAAGGACAAGCAGUGGCUAGUUCCAGGAUCAACUUCAGCAGUCAAGUUGGAGAAAGCAGCACUCCAGCCAGGAUUUGUGAAGGAUGUGAGGUAGCUGUCCCCUCAGCACCAAACGUAUUCACUAGAGGCGUUCCACUCACUCAUUUGCUCCUCAGCAUACAGGUUCUCAU